Molecule: transfer RNA, 69 nt
Filed under: Cordylochernes scorpioides
Lineage: Eukaryota; Metazoa; Arthropoda; Arachnida; Pseudoscorpiones; Chernetidae
Description: tRNA-OTHER
Source: RNAcentral
UGUCUAGGGAUGGGAAUCGAACCCACAGUGUUCCACUAACCGGGCCAUGUCCACUAGGCUACCCUGGAC